UUUGAUCGGUGGAGGGUCGUUAGCCGAACGGGUAGGAUAGGGAAACCUCAUUCACGAAGCCGAUCUAUAAGGUGGGUAUAAGGUUGCGGCCUAUAAAAUGGCGCUUAAUGGGUGUACACUCACACCCACCGCUUGCUUGAUCGGUGGAGGGUCGUUAGCCGAAUAGGUAGGAUAGGGCAACCUCAUCCUCUCAUUAAAAGUAUAAUAAGUAAUACAAAGUAACUACACAUUUUUAAAAUUUCCCAAUCUUAGUUACUUUAGGAAAAGUGAAUUGAUGCAAUCCCAUGAAAUUACACUUUGCGCCCUUGCUAAGAAGUUAGUGGAGCGUGUGUGGUUUACCGGCACACUAAUUGGUUCUAAGC
This 362-nucleotide long non-coding RNA is filed under the name Lactuca sativa (garden lettuce). Its description in RNAcentral is "long non-coding RNA (LSAT_LNC002468)". Lineage: Eukaryota; Viridiplantae; Streptophyta; Magnoliopsida; Asterales; Asteraceae. The record is from RNAcentral.